AGUUGAUGAUCACUGAGCCCGUCAGACGCACCCCACCACUUUGUUUUGCAUAUUAGUGAUCAUCUGUGUGCAACCUUAGCGAAGUUCAGUAUCCACUGCUCGAUAGGUGAUGGCAUCUCAUAGCAAAUUUCCUUUUCUGUGUCGCUUCGUUGCUAGAAGUCCUUAAGAGGUCAAGAGAUUUUAAGUACUUGUCCUUUGUUGUAAAAUGUAAAACAAAAAUAUAUAUGAUGAUGAAAUGUAUUGUAUUGAGUGAAUAUAAGCCAUUAAUGAAUUUGCAAUGGUUAUGAGAUUUCCUGGACAUGUGUGGUUUGUUGAGUUGAUGAUUUAUGAAGGCUUGUUUAGGCCUUGUGGGCUUCGCCUGUUGGACUCGUGUGUCAGUAGCAACCCCUAGGUUUGGGUCGUUACAAUAUCGAUAUCUUAUAUAUCUACCAUCUUCUUCUUCCCAUUUCUAUAAGCAAAUUUGGGUUCAUGAAC
Molecule: long non-coding RNA, 474 nt
Filed under: Theobroma cacao (cacao)
Lineage: Eukaryota; Viridiplantae; Streptophyta; Magnoliopsida; Malvales; Malvaceae
Description: long non-coding RNA (TCAC_LNC001629)
Source: RNAcentral